This is a long non-coding RNA of Callithrix jacchus (white-tufted-ear marmoset), 455 nucleotides long. RefSeq lists it as uncharacterized. The record is from RefSeq and is a predicted model, not a curated record. NCBI's taxonomy places the organism in Eukaryota, Metazoa, Chordata, Mammalia, Primates, Cebidae.
AGGUAAAACUUCUUCAUCCAAAUAUCCAAAAAGAUGUUAAAGACUCAGAUGGGCUGAAGAAAGAAUACCAACAACCUGGGAGAUAAUUCGUUGAAAUACAAGAAACAAUGUGUAGAGAAGAGAAGAAGAUGGUGAACUAAGUACUUUGAAGAGAACAAUGGACAAGACAUGGUCUUCGAAAUCUUCAAGGAACUUAUAACCCAGUGGAAGAAAAUUGGGUACUGGAAGCAGUUCUACAAUGUGGAACAAAAUAAAUUCAUAAUGAAAGUACAAGGUAAUAGGAGAUUUAAAAGGAGGGAAUCCAUGGUAAUUUUUGUGAUUAAAAUUGCACUUUCUAGAAAACAGGAUAUCACUUAAUACAUCAUCAGAUUGGUACUGACUGAAAUAACAGCUUAUUCUUGCUUCCUCUGAAUGUGACUUUUUACUACUAACUGUGGCUUUUACUAUACUUGUUU